Molecule: long non-coding RNA, 1506 nt
Filed under: Chloebia gouldiae (Gouldian finch)
Lineage: Eukaryota; Metazoa; Chordata; Aves; Passeriformes; Passeridae
Description: Erythrura gouldiae (Gouldian finch) lncRNA (ENSEGOG00005011049.1)
Source: RNAcentral
AGCAUUUUGGUCACCCAAACCCCUUUCCCCAAAACUUUGGGGUGCUUUGUGUGGAUCCAUCACUCCCCUGAAGGGUUUUGGGCACCCAGCCCCUCUUUACAAAAUUUUGGGCGCUCUGCAUGGAUCUGUCCCUCCCUCGAAGGAUUUUGGAGACCCAACCCCUCUCCCUGAAAGUUUGGGGUGCUCUGCACAGAUCCAUCUAUCCCUUGAAGGGUUUUGGGCACCCAAGCCCUCUUUUUGCUGCUGGGUCUCACAUUGGUCAUCUCCAACCUUCUGAAAUUGGGACAGGAGGGGGCAAUUCCCACCCACCCCACUGAUCCCACUGAUAUGGGGGAUUCCCAUCCCUGAACCGCUGCUUCCUGAAGUUCUCUUGGUGCUUAUCCGCAUUCCCAUCCCCCAGGGAUGUCCUCCAGAACCUGAACUUGGACUCGUGGCGAGGAAGCUGCCAGAGGGGCGACGUCAAGGAAGACGACUUCCGCAACAUCUCGGUGAUGCCCUUCUCCCGCUACUACCUCAACUGCUCCAUCGAGUCCCACUACGCCACCUACAACUGGUACCACGAGGACGUGCUCAUCAAGAGCUGCAACACCUCCCACCCGCAGCACGACUGCUUCCACUUCAUCCCCAGCGUCCGGCGCGAGCACUACGGCCACUACGUCUGCGUGUCCGAGGAGGACGGCUUCCGCCAGGCGCUGGUCAAGGAGCGCCUGCUGGACCGCCAGCGCUUCUUGUCGCAGCGCGGCCGCGCUCCGGCCACGCUGGCCUCGUGGCUCCAGCUGCUGCUGGUGCUGGCCCUGGCCGAGCUCUUCCACUGACGCCGUCCCGCUGGCCCUGCCGCCGCCGCGGCUCCCUCGGACUCUUGGUGCUCCCCACCGCCCGCCUCGCUGGAAGAGCCGCGGCAGGAGGGUGUGACACGCGGCGGCCUCGGCGGCGGCGGCUCCGCUGGCCAGCCAUGCAUGCGCUGAUGCUCAGGGCAUGGCCGCUCCUUGCAUGUGAUGAAGAUGAGGAGGAGGAGGAGGAACCGGCCCUCGGCCUCCAGACUGCGGGAUGCCCGCGGGGACCGCUGCCUCCCGAGCUUUCGCGGGGUGAUGUUGGGGUCGGCAGCGGCUGGGACAGCCCCGGCGAGUCCCCUCCUGCUCCGUGGGGGCUCGGAGGCUGCAGGGGGGCUCGGUUCGUUGUUUUUUGUUCGCAGCCGGCUUUGGUGUGGGAGGGAGGUCGGGAAUCGGCGCCGCCGCGUUGGGAAUUUGCAUGGAAAAGCCUCGGAAGGUGGCUGGAUUUGGGGUGUGGGGAAAGGGAAGGUGGGAGCAGAGCCCGGAGCGGAGCGGGAGGCGCUGGGGGAGACGCUGGAGACGCACAAAUCCUCUGCGGGCAGCUGAGGGGCAUCGCAGCGGGGCCGUGCCCGCUCCCACCCUGUCCCGGGCGUCCUCAGGGAAAGCGGCCGCGGAUCUCAGGGCACCGGGGGGGCUGCGCCUGCCCCCAGCUCUGUCCCUGUCCCCCGGGCCGGGC